This is a non-coding RNA of Oryza nivara, 203 nucleotides long. The record is from Rfam. Lineage: Eukaryota; Viridiplantae; Streptophyta; Magnoliopsida; Poales; Poaceae.
AAUGUAUGAUGCCGUUGACUUUUUGUCCAACGUUUGACCAUUCGUCUUAUUCAAAAAAUUUAUGUAAUUAUCAUUUAUUUUAUUGUGACUUGAUUGAUCAUCAAAUGUUCUUUAAGCAUGACAUAAAUAUUUUCAUAUUUGCAAAAAAAAUGAAUAAAACGAAUGGUCAAACGUUGGUUAAAAAGUCAAUGACGUCAUACAUU